CAACAGAAAAGGAAAUUGAAAGUGAUGGGACAGAAUCAGAGAGGAGUCAACCAGCCAGGGCAGAAGAACCGGCACGCGGGCUGCUCUGAGAGUCUUGGCAGAAGCCGAUGGAAGGUGUCUCCACAGUGCUGCCCCCGGAACAAGGGCACCGAUGGUUUCCUGCUUUUUGUCUCUCUCUCUGCUCGCGAUUCAAAGUCCGAGGAAGACCUGCGGGUGUGAGCUCUGCCGGGCUCAAGUGCCAUCUCUUGGCUUGGGGAGAGCAGGGCAUCUUGAAUGACAGCCUCAGCAGACUGCUUGCACGAUUCCAAUUGGAAAUCAGGACACCAUUACUGAGGGAGAAGCGGGGAGAGUGGAUGUUGGAUUGGGUGCCAGAAAGCUGAAAACGCACAUGACACUGGGAGUUGGUGAGAAGCCCAGACAGCCUCCAACCCUCUGGCUGUGGGGUCGCAGGGAGACAGACCCAGAGCUUCAAGGCUCUGCAGGUGGUGCUAAUGAAUUGCCAAGACCCGAGAUGUAACUGCUGUGUUUUGAAGUCUCUUUCAGCUCUAGAUAUGACCAUCAUGGACAGAAGAUCUCCACAGCCCUGGCCAAGGCUGUUAAAACUGCAACUCUCUGGUAUCUAAGUUCUUUUAAAUAGUUUUGCAACAACGGGGAUUUAGGGCUCAGAUUGUUCUUUUGAUCAUCAGAAUUCUAAUUUUUUUUAACAGCUGAGGAUGAUCAACCAAGUUUCUGUGUCUGCUCUCUGCCCUGUGUACUUGGCACUGUGGUUCUGAGGUUAUACUGUGGGUCAGAAAAUUCCUGCUUUCAUCCCAAAGCUCAGGACCAAGUACAGAGCUUUUUUUUUUUUUUUUCCUGGUGGUGCAAAACUUAGCUGGGUGGGUACAUCAGGGUGCUAAACUGUUCCUCGGGGCUGCCAAAUUGUGACUUGGCUUGUGUACAUAUGCCCGUAAAAGGUUGUUUGAAGCACAGGAAAAGGGCAAGCAUCGUGA
Vicugna pacos (alpaca) is the source of this 989-nucleotide non-coding RNA. The record is from RefSeq and is a predicted model, not a curated record. Lineage: Eukaryota; Metazoa; Chordata; Mammalia; Artiodactyla; Camelidae.